GAUGAACGCUGGCGGCGUGCCUAAUACAUGCAAGUCGAGCGAACGGACGAGAAGCGUGCUUCUCUGAUGUUAGCGGCGGACGGGUGAGUAACACGUGGAUAACCUACCUAUAAGACUGGGAUAACUUCGGGAAACCGUAGCUAAUACCGGUUAAUAUUUUGAACGGCAUGGUUCAAAAGUGAAAGACGGUCUUGCUGUCACUUAUACAUGGAUCCGCGCUGCAUUAGCUAGUUGGUAAGGUAACGGCUUACCAAGGCAACGAUGCAUAGCCGACCUGAGAGGGUGAUCGGCCACACUGGAACUGAGACACGGUCCAGACUCCUACGGGAGGCAGCAGUAGGGAAUCUUCCGCAAUGGGCGAAAGCCUGACCGAGCCACGCCGCGUGAGUGAUGAAGGUCUUCGGAUCGUAAAACUCUGUUAGUUGGGAAGAACAUAUGUAUGAUUAACUCUGCCCAUCUUGACGGUACCUACACAGAAAGCCCCGGCUAACUACGUG
RNAcentral lists this ribosomal RNA (497 nucleotides) under uncultured bacterium. Its description in RNAcentral is "partial 16S ribosomal RNA". It matches the Rfam family "Bacterial small subunit ribosomal RNA", at positions 28 to 507 of the family's 1533-position model. The record is from RNAcentral.